UCAAGUUUACAUACAUACAGCAGGAGAACGUAAAAUGUAUAUUUCUGUUAUAUUUCAGAUUCCCAAGAAGAUGCGUUUGAUAAAAGAGCAAUGAAUGGAA
Xiphophorus couchianus (Monterrey platyfish) is the source of this 100-nucleotide long non-coding RNA. RefSeq lists it as uncharacterized. The record is from RefSeq and is a predicted model, not a curated record. NCBI's taxonomy places the organism in Eukaryota, Metazoa, Chordata, Actinopteri, Cyprinodontiformes, Poeciliidae. The transcript is spliced from 3 exons.